RNAcentral lists this non-coding RNA (30 nucleotides) under Homo sapiens (human). Lineage: Eukaryota; Metazoa; Chordata; Mammalia; Primates; Hominidae. The record is from RNAcentral.
UACAGUUGCAUGGAGCUGCUUAAGAUCUGA